AUUCUCCGAAUCUCUUCCAGACUUCUUCUGGCCAACAGAUGACUCUACUCCGAACUUCUUUCGAACCUCGUCAAUGUCCGAGCUUCUCCGACAAUGAGAUUUCUAUAGUAACCAAACUCCAUCCAAGUUUCUACGAUGGUCGACCACCUUUCGGAUUCCAUCCGAGCUCUUACAAGAACCAAAUUUCAGCCGAACUCCUACAGUGGAUGGAUCCC
This 215-nucleotide long non-coding RNA is filed under the name Elaeis guineensis (African oil palm). Its description in RNAcentral is "long non-coding RNA (EGUI_LNC068895)". Lineage: Eukaryota; Viridiplantae; Streptophyta; Magnoliopsida; Arecales; Arecaceae. The record is from RNAcentral.